This 1170-nucleotide long non-coding RNA is filed under the name Capsicum annuum. RNAcentral describes it as "long non-coding RNA (CANN_LNC007509)". The record is from RNAcentral. Lineage: Eukaryota; Viridiplantae; Streptophyta; Magnoliopsida; Solanales; Solanaceae.
GAUCUUGUUCUUCAAUUGAACUAAUUUCUCUUUUUGUUAGUAGUUCUUUUUGGUUUUAUUUAGUGUUCUGAUGAUGCAUUUGCUGUUAAUUAUUGUGAUGGAUCGUGAACAGCAGCUCAACGAUCUUGAUGUGUUCCCAUGUUUCAGCUGUUGUACCUCAAAACUGAUUUUUCGUUAUGUUUGUGAACGCUCUUUUUGCUUUCUUUAGUGUUUUGGUGAUGAAUUCGAGAUUGAAUUUGCAAAAUUUACAGAAUUGUUUUGUCAUGUUUGAUAUUAUCAAGUGAAAAUAAAUGAUCUUAAUGCCUUUUUGGAUAUGUUUCUGUUUGGUUUAUUCCUGCUCUUAAUCAUUGUAAUGGACAGUGAACAACAGCUCAUUGAUCUUAAUUUAAGUCGAUGGUUUUUUUCUUCUUGUCUUUCAUCUUGUGGUUUGAUUAUGAAUAAGGUAGUUGUUAGUAUGAUUUCUCUUGGAGGUCGUGAAUUAGGAUAGAAGAUUAGUAGGUAGUUGAGCGUUGUCUCGGAUAGGCGUGGUGGUAGGUUGGUGCAUUGUACCUAUUUCCCUGUCUAUAUCAGUAGUCGCAGCACUUGUCCCGUAGUUGCCUGUCUUACGACUUUGGUUAUUCCAAAGGGGAGUUAAGUAUAAGGCUAUGGGGGUUGUGGAUUAGGAUAGAAGGUUUGUAGUUAGUUGAGCGUUGUCUCGGAUAGGCGUGGUGGUAGGUUGGUGUACCUAUUUCCCUGUCUAUACCAGUAGUCGCGACACUUCUCCCGUAAGGUUAUGGGGGUCGUGGAUUAGGGUAGAAGAUUAGUAGAUAGUUGAGUGGUGUCGCGGAUAGGCGUGGUGGUAGGUUGGUGUACCUAUUUCCCUGUCUAUACCAGUAGUCGUAGUACUUGUCCCGUAGUUGCCUGUCUUACAACUUUCGUUACUCCAAAAGGGAGUUAAGUAUAAGGUUAUGGGGGUCGUGGAUUUGGGUAGAAGGUUAGUAGGUAGUUGAGCGUUGUCUCGGAUAGGCGUGGUGGUAGGUUGGUGCAUUAUACCUAUCUAUUUCCCUGUCGAUACCAGUUGUCGCAGCACUUGUCCUGUGGUUGCCUAUCUUACAACUUUGGUUACUACAAAGGGGAGUUAAGUAUAAGGUUAUGGGGGUCGUGGAUUAGGGUAGAAGGUUUGUAGGUAGU